CGCGCCCGCUUCGGGGCGACGCCCAGCCUGUAAUGAAUGGCGUGGACGUCACCGAGCCUCCUUGGCGGGCUCCUUUGCCAGCCUGAGAUUCUAAAUCUGUAAAAUGGGGCUAUAGGACUAGUUCAUGGGAUAGCUGCGAUUGUGCGAGACACCAGGGGGCCGGCACACGGCCUUCAUAUGGGAAUAAUGAAGGUCAAGGCCGGAUCCUGUAUCUUUUGGGCCUCUUAGUAUAAGCAUCGGGUGGGCACAGAGCCUCCUUCCUUAUACAGGAGUUUGAGGGAAUGAAGGAAGGAAUGAGCAAACUCUAGAGGUCCCAAGUAUUCCCUGCAGGAAAUCUUCCCAUUCUCCUUUCCAACAGAUGGUUUCUACCCUUUCAAGAACUUGGGAACACUCUAUUCUUAUAUAGAAAGCUGGGACGUGAUGUUCUGCAGGCCUGAGGCAUUAUCCGUAAAGCAGGCGUCCUCAAAAGCACACAGGAGUUCAAGAGCAACUCGGCUGGCUUGUUCUGACUUGGGGUUGCAGUCAAGGUGUCAGCUGGGACUGCAGCCCGUGGUAAACUUGACUGGAACUGGAAGAUCUGCUUCUAAGAGAUGGCUGCAACAUCUGUCACCCCUCAUGCUCUUCUGCAUCAUGGUCUUGCCUCAUGAUCUUCUGCAUCAUGACAACAUCAAGAGUCCAUUUCUCUACGCUGUUGAAUGUGGAAGAGCCCUGUGACUGCUUUGACAAAUUAAGUGUGAUACUGGGACACUGAGACAGUUCCAGGCAUAUCCCUUAACUGACUGACUGGCAGCUGUGCUGCUCCCAGUCUCGUGCCAUACUUGCUCUGGGGAGAAGCUGGCUGCCGUAUCAGAGGUCUGCUGGUCCUGAGACCGCCAUGCCAUGAUGAAGCCCAAGCUAGUUGUGUGGAGAGGCUACAUGAUAUAAAGAUGCCCCGUAAAAGCCUCUAAUGCUCCAACCAGCCCGGCCCAGGCACCAGACAUGUGAAUGAAGAAGCCUCCAGGUGAGAGAAGUCCCAGCCACCAUCUGGCGGUAAGAGCCACCCCGCUCAUUCUAGUAAACUCCCAGAGCUGAGGGACUUCACAAUCGUGUUAGGUCACUAAGUGUUGGGCUGGCUGGUUUCACAGCAAAAAUAAGUGGAACAAUGAACAAGGCUGGAUGUCCUCUGCUUCCCAGGGAGUGUUGACCGUGAGCGUCCUGUGCUCGUAACUCCACCAGCUGCCCACCUCACCGCAGUCUCAAGAUCAAGGAGGGACAGGCACUGUUUCACACUGCGGGCCCAUCACACCCUGGCACCGCUGCUCUCGUCACCAUCAGCCCCUCCUAGUAAACCCGGACAGUUUAACUUCCCCAUUUUACAGGUGAAGAAACAGUCUUGAGCCACGCAGCUGGUAAACUGGCCUGACUCCAAAACCCCAUGUCCCAAAGCCUGAGUCACUUCCUUCCCAAGGCUUCACUGUUAACUAAUCUUUAAAGACGCAAAACUGUUCCAAGCCCAGUCGAUCUCUCAGCAUUUGGGGGCUGAGCAGUAAAGGGUUAACUCAGCAGAUUUGGAGAGUUCACACCCUGCAUAUGCCAAAGAAAGGCCUGACCCUUGACCAGCUCUGGGAGAUCACCUCUAAGCUCUUGGGAUAUUCUGUCUAAUGAGAGUGUCUUUGAAUACUUGGGACCCUAGGCCACUCCAGGAGCUAACAAGGUGACUUAUGAUGGGGACCCUGGGUCAGGCUACUAUGUCAUUUGACUUCUAGAGGGAGUGGAAACAAAGUAACUAUGCCCACGUGACUGCUGCCUAAUAAAAAAUGCUGGACACCGAGGUUCAGGUGAGCUUUCCUGGGUGGCAACACUGAAUAUGUGCUGUCCCACAGCAUUGCUGCGACAAGGAUGCACGUCCAUAAGACUCCACCAGGAAAGGACAACCAGAAGCUCAGGCCUGGUCUCUCCUGGACUUUGCCUGAUGUACCUUUGCUGAUUUUAACCCAUAUCCUUUCGCUGUAAUAAACCAUAAACAUGA
Non-coding RNA from Miniopterus natalensis, 2008 nucleotides. NCBI's taxonomy places the organism in Eukaryota, Metazoa, Chordata, Mammalia, Chiroptera, Miniopteridae. The record is from RefSeq and is a predicted model, not a curated record.